RNAcentral lists this ribosomal RNA (328 nucleotides) under uncultured eukaryote. RNAcentral describes it as "partial 18S ribosomal RNA". It matches the Rfam family "Eukaryotic small subunit ribosomal RNA", at positions 1470 to 1796 of the family's 1831-position model. The record is from RNAcentral.
CCCUUAGAUGUUCUGGGCUGCACGCGCGCUACACUGAUGCACUCAACGAGUUUACGACCUUGUCCGAGAGGAUUGGGUAAUCUUUUUAAAAUGCAUCGUGAUAGGGAUAGAUUAUUGCAAUUAUUAAUCUUCAACGAGGAAUUCCUAGUAAGCGCGAGUCAUCAGCUCGUGCUGAUUACGUCCCUGCCCUUUGUACACACCGCCCGUCGCUCCUACCGAUUGAGUGGUCCGGUGAGGCUUUGGGAUCUGAGCGGAAAGAGCGUUUCGCUGUUUCUGCUCGGAAAACUCAGUCGAACCUUAUCAUUUAGAGGAAGGAGAAGUCGUAACA